Molecule: ribosomal RNA, 348 nt
Filed under: Paenarthrobacter sp.
Lineage: Bacteria; Bacillati; Actinomycetota; Actinomycetes; Micrococcales; Micrococcaceae
Description: bacterial SSU rRNA
Rfam family: Bacterial small subunit ribosomal RNA
Source: RNAcentral
GUGUGGGGGACAUUCCACGUUUUCCGCGCCGUAGCUAACGCAUUAAGUGCCCCGCCUGGGGAGUACGGCCGCAAGGCUAAAACUCAAAGGAAUUGACGGGGGCCCGCACAAGCGGCGGAGCAUGCGGAUUAAUUCGAUGCAACGCGAAGAACCUUACCAAGGCUUGACAUGAACCGGAAAGACCUGGAAACAGGUGCCCCGCUUGCGGUCGGUUUACAGGUGGUGCAUGGUUGUCGUCAGCUCGUGUCGUGAGAUGUUGGGUUAAGUCCCGCAACGAGCGCAACCCUCGUUCUAUGUUGCCAGCGGUUCGGCCGGGGACUCAUAGGAGACUGCCGGGGUCAACUCAGA